AGCAGAAUUAGCCCCAUUUUUACGAAAACACGCGGAUCUUGCUAGUAUCUGGGUCGGGUCUUGGGUUGUGCUCUAAAACGACGCCGUCUUGGGGCUUCUGAGACCAGCCCCAGAUCGGAAGCCAAAAUAUUCAAAAUACCCAAAAAAGACUAGAAAACCUUUCGGUUCCUCGCACUCCUUUCCGACGUGGUCCUCCGGUGAAUCGAAAACAAUUCAAAGACCAUACGCCGAAAGGAACCGUCUUUCGUUGGCGACGAUAUCCUCGCAUGCUCUCGACAUUGGAAAACGAAGCUGCGUUCAGGUGGUGGUUGUCGGUAGCAGUUGGCGGCAGCGUGCUGACGUAGGGGACGUGCGGCGCCAGAGGGCUAGAUUAGGGUUUCUGUUUCUGAACAUUGUUUAGGCUAACGGGCCAUUGGGCUAUUUGGGUUUUUUUGUUAAUUUGGACUGUUUAGGCUUAAUGUAAUUUGGGUCUGACAUUUUGUAAAUGGACUGCACUGUUUAUUUAUUUGGUUUUGUUUAUUA
Molecule: long non-coding RNA, 522 nt
Organism: Gossypium raimondii (Peruvian cotton)
Lineage: Eukaryota; Viridiplantae; Streptophyta; Magnoliopsida; Malvales; Malvaceae
Exons: 2
Source: RefSeq, a predicted model, not a curated record